RNAcentral lists this long non-coding RNA (397 nucleotides) under Rattus norvegicus (Norway rat). Its description in RNAcentral is "long non-coding RNA NONRATT027940". The record is from RNAcentral. Lineage: Eukaryota; Metazoa; Chordata; Mammalia; Rodentia; Muridae.
CCCCCUCCCGCCCUCCCUCCCUCCUUCCUUUUCUUUCUUUCUUUCUUUCUUUUUUUUUUUCCCCCCUAGGCUUCUCGCUCUCUUUCUUUGCCUGGGCAGCUGGCUGAGGGGGCGGGCCUUGCAGUCUUUGUUGCCGGAGGAGCGAGUGCAGCUGCCCGGCGGCUAGAGUCAGGACCUGGACCUUGGGAAGAGUUUAAAACCAGCCAUGUCCUGAGUCGGACCCAGGCCCGGCUAGGGCGCAAAGGCGCAGACUAAGGCGUGCACAAGGGGUCGUCCUGCGGCCACCCCAUUCUGGCCAUGCACCGUGGUCUGAAUCUCCUCCUGAUCCUGUGCGCUCUGGCGCCCCACGUCCUCGGACCUGCAUCAGGUCUCCCAACUGAGGGCCGGGCGGGUUUGG